AGCGAACGCUGGCGGCAGGCCUAACACAUGCAAGUCGAACGAACCUUUCGGGGUUAGUGGCGGACGGGUGAGUAACACGUGGGAACGUGCCUUUAGGUUCGGAAUAACUCAUGGAAACUUGUGCUAAUACCGAAUGUGCCCUUCGGGGGAAAGAUUAAUCGCCUUUAGAGCGGCCCGCGUCUGAUUAGCUAGUUGGUUGAGGUAAUGGCUCACCAAGGCUACGAUCAGUAGCUGGUCUGAGAGGAUGAGCAGGCACAUUGGGACUAAGACACGGCACAAAAUCCUACGGGAGGCAGCAGUGGGGAAUCUUGCGCAAUGGGCGAAAGCCUGAAGCAGCCAUGCCGCGUGAAUGAUGAAGGUCUUAGGAUUGUAAAAUUCUUUCACCGGGGACGAUAAUGACGGUACCCGGAGAAGAAGCCCCGGCUAACUUCGUG
Molecule: ribosomal RNA, 434 nt
Filed under: uncultured bacterium
Lineage: Bacteria
Description: partial 16S ribosomal RNA
Rfam family: Bacterial small subunit ribosomal RNA
Source: RNAcentral